ACCUGGCUGGUUCAAUUGGUAGAGCAUGUGACUUUUGAUCUUGAGGUCGUGAGUUUGAGCCCACGUUGGGCG
This is a non-coding RNA of Ailuropoda melanoleuca (giant panda), 72 nucleotides long. The record is from Rfam. Lineage: Eukaryota; Metazoa; Chordata; Mammalia; Carnivora; Ursidae.